Molecule: ribosomal RNA, 444 nt
Filed under: uncultured Anaerolineaceae bacterium
Lineage: Bacteria; Bacillati; Chloroflexota; Anaerolineae; Anaerolineales; Anaerolineaceae
Description: bacterial SSU rRNA
Rfam family: Bacterial small subunit ribosomal RNA
Source: RNAcentral
CACAAGCGGUGGAGCAUGUUGGUUUAAUUCGAUGAUACGCGAAGAACCUUACCGGGGUUUGACAUGCAGGUGAUCGCGUUGAAGACGGUUUCCUCUUCGGAGGCACCUGCACAGGUGCUGCAUGGCUGUCGUCAGCUCGUGUCGUGAGAUGUCCGGUUAAGUCCGGUAACGAGCGCAACCCUCGCUAUGUGUUAUAUGUGUCACACGGGACUGCCGGUAUCAAGCCGGAGGAAGGUGGGGAUGACGUCAAGUCAGCAUGGCCUUUAUGUCUGGGGCUACACACACGCUACAAUGGCCAGUACAAUAGGUUGCAAGACCGCGAGGUGGAGCCAAUCCUUAAAGCUGGUCUCAGUUCGGAUUGCAGGCUGCAACUCGCCUGCAUGAAGUCGGAGUUGCUAGUAACCGCGCGUCAGCUAUAGUGCGGUGAAUACGUUCCCGGGCCUU